RNAcentral lists this ribosomal RNA (470 nucleotides) under Bacillus haynesii. RNAcentral's name for it is "bacterial SSU rRNA". It matches the Rfam family "Bacterial small subunit ribosomal RNA", at positions 120 to 574 of the family's 1533-position model. The record is from RNAcentral. Lineage: Bacteria; Bacillati; Bacillota; Bacilli; Caryophanales; Bacillaceae.
GGUAACCUGCCUGUAAGACUGGGAUAACUCCGGGAAACCGGGGCUAAUACCGGAUGCUUGAUUGAACCGCAUGGUUCAAUUAUAAAAGGUGGCUUUUAGCUACCACUUACAGAUGGACCCGCGGCGCAUUAGCUAGUUGGUGAGGUAACGGCUCACCAAGGCGACGAUGCGUAGCCGACCUGAGAGGGUGAUCGGCCACACUGGGACUGAGACACGGCCCAGACUCCUACGGGAGGCAGCAGUAGGGAAUCUUCCGCAAUGGACGAAAGUCUGACGGAGCAACGCCGCGUGAGUGAUGAAGGUUUUCGGAUCGUAAAACUCUGUUGUUAGGGAAGAACAAGUACCGUUCGAAUAGGGCGGUACCUUGACGGUACCUAACCAGAAAGCCACGGCUAACUACGUGCCAGCAGCCGCGGUAAUACGUAGGUGGCAAGCGUUGUCCGGAAUUAUUGGGCGUAAAGCGCGCGCAG